This 2229-nucleotide ribosomal RNA is filed under the name Hypseloecus cassisi. RNAcentral's name for it is "eukaryotic LSU rRNA". It matches the Rfam family "Eukaryotic large subunit ribosomal RNA", at positions 47 to 1884 of the family's 3401-position model. The record is from RNAcentral. Lineage: Eukaryota; Metazoa; Arthropoda; Insecta; Hemiptera; Miridae.
UAAGCGGAGGAAGAACUAACGAGGAUUCCCUUAGUAGCUGCGAGCGAACAGGGACAAGCCCAGCACUGAAUCCUGGAGGCAUCGCCUCCCAGGAAAUGUGGUGUUUGGGAGAAUUCAUACACCCGAUACCGUCGCACUGCGUCCAAGUCCAUCUUGAAAGAGGCCACGGUCCCGAGAGGGUGCCAGGCCCGUGGUAGGCCGGUGCAGGUGUUGGGUGAAUUUCUCCUCAGAGUCAGGUUGCUUGAGAGUGCAGCCCUAAGCGGGUGGUAAACUCCAUCUAAGGCUAAAUACAACCACGAGACCGAUAGCGAACAAGUACCGUGAGGGAAAGUUGAAAAGAACUUUGAAGAGAGAGUUCAAGAGUACGUGAAACCGCUCAGGGGUAAACGGAAAAGACCCGAAAUUUCCGAAGAGGGAGAUUCACGUCUUCUCGCGGCGCUUAGGCGUCCGUCCCUUUUGGACGGUUCUGCUCCCGUUCGUUUUUCGCACGGUGGGUCGGAUUGCAAAGGGCGGCGUUGAGGCCCGCGGCGGACCGCACUUCUCCCUUAGUAGGACGUCGUGACCCGUCCGGCCAUGGUCUUACAGACAUGAGGUGGAGCCUGUUUUCGACGCGUUUGCGCGUGUUCUUGAGCAGACCCUCAUGCCUCGGCCAUGGAUAUUAUUUACCGGUCGGUAUCAAAUGACAGCGUUCGGCCGCUUUUCGGCGGAGGAAACUCCUGCCGGCGAGCGCGGUUCGAUCCGGUGCAAGGUGCUGGGAUGUUCUCAGUCGGAGCGGGCUUACGUCCGCCUGGCUGCUCCCGGCCCUGUUGGCUCCGGAUCCUCCCGUUCGGCCUAUUUGCGCUCGUCUACGGCGAACCAGUUUUGGGCUCUUGUCCGACCCGUCUUGAAACACGGACCAAGGAGUUCAGCGUGCACGCGAGUCAUUGGGUGAACAAACCUAAAGGCGAAAUGAAAGUGAAGGGAACUUUAGUUUCUGAGGGAGGAUGAGACGGUUUUACCGCAAGGGGCCUCUCCGCACUCCCGGGGCGUCUCUUUCUCAUUACGAGUGGAGGCGCACCCAGAGCGUACACGCUGAUACCCGAAAGAUGGUGAACUAUGCCUGGCCAGGACGAAGCCAGGGGAAACCCUGGUGGAGGUCCGCAGCGAUUCUGACGUGCAAAUCGAUCGUCGGAGCUGGGUAUAGGGGCGAAAGACCAAUCGAACCAUCUAGUAGCUGGUUCCCUCCGAAGUUUCCCUCAGGAUAGCUUGCGCUCAUGGGAACGAGUCUCAUCCGGUAGAGCGAAUGAUUAGAGGCCUUGGGGUCGAAACGACCUCAACCUAUUCUCAAACUCCAAAUAGAUGAGAACUCCGGCUUCCUUGAAAAAUGAAGCCGGGGGCUUGGAUCAGAGUGCCAAGUGGGCCAAUUUUGGUAAGCAGAACUGGCGCUGUGGGAUGAACCAAACGUCGAGUUAAGGCGCCUAAAUCGUCGCUCAUGUGAAACCAUGAAAGGCGUUGGUUGCUUAAGACAGCAGGACGGUGGCCAUGGAAGUCGGAAUCCGCUAAGGAGUGUGUAACAACUCACCUGCCGAAGCAACUAGCCCUGAAAAUGGAUGGCGCUGUAGCGACGUUGCCUAUACUCGACCGUCAACGGCAAAGAUUGGCUGGGCUCUUGUAGUUCGUGCCGUUACGCCUUGACGAGUAGGAGGGCCGCGGCGACGUGCGCAGAAGGGUCUGGGCGUGAGCCUGCCUGGAGCCGUCGUCGGUGCAGAUCUUGGUGGUAGUAGCAAAUACUCCAGCGAGGCCCUGGAGGACUGAUGUGGAGAAGGGUUUCUUGUGAACAGCUGUUGCACAAGAGUCAGUCGGUCCUAAGCCCUAGGAGAAAUCCGAAGCGAUGGGUUGCCGUUAACCAGUUGUGAUGGCACCCGUUUGGGCGAAAGGGAAUCCGGUUCCUAUUCCGGAACCUGGCAGUGGAACCGUUCCAAUUCGGGCCCUCUGUGGACUCGUCAGGGCAACCUAAGUAGACCCGGAGACGCCGACAGGAGGUUGGGGGAGAGUUGUCUCUUCUCUAUAAGCGAUCGAGUUCCCUGGAAACUUCUAGCAAGGAGAUAGGGUUUGGAUCGCGAAGAGCACUGCAGUUACGGCAGUGUCCCAAUCUUCCUCUCGGACCUGAAAAUCCGGGUGAGGGCAACGAGGACCCCCACGCCAGACCGUACCCAUAACCGCAGCAGGUCUCCAAGGUGCAAAGCCUCU